Molecule: non-coding RNA, 46 nt
Organism: Solenopsis invicta (red fire ant)
Lineage: Eukaryota; Metazoa; Arthropoda; Insecta; Hymenoptera; Formicidae
Source: Rfam
CAAACGGCCUUUUUCAAGGCCACCACAACACUUUAAAUAAGGAACU